UACGUAGGGUGCGAGCGUUAAUCGGAAUUACUGGGCGUAAAGCGUGCGCAGGCGGUUUUGUAAGCCAGAUGUGAAAUCCCCCGGGCUUAACCUGGGAAUGGCAUUUGGGACUGCAAGGCUGGAGUACGGCAGAGGAGACUGGAAUUCCUGGUGUAGCAGUGAAAUGCGUAGAGAUCAGGAGGAAUACCGAUGGCGAAGGCAGGUCUCUGGGCUGAUACUGACGCUCAUGCACGAAAGCGUGGGGAGCGAACAGG
RNAcentral lists this ribosomal RNA (254 nucleotides) under uncultured bacterium. RNAcentral describes it as "partial 16S ribosomal RNA". It matches the Rfam family "Bacterial small subunit ribosomal RNA", at positions 524 to 776 of the family's 1533-position model. The record is from RNAcentral.